AGUGAACGCUGGCGGUAGGCCUAACACAUGCAAGUCGAACGGCAGCACAGUAAGAGCUUGUUUUUACGGGUGGCGAGUGGCGGACGGGUGAGGAAUACAUCGGCAUCUACUUUUUCGUGGGGGAUAACGUAGGGAAACUUACGCUAAUACCGCAUACGAUCUACGGGUGAAAGCAGGGGAUCUUCGGACCUUGCGCGAUUGAAUGAGCCGAUGUCGGAUUAGCUAGUUGGCGGGGUAAAGGCCCACCAAGGCGACGAUCCGUAGCUGGACUGAGAGGAUGAUCAGCCACACUGGAACUGGAACACGGUCCAGGCUCCUACGGGAAGCAGCAGUGGGGAAUAUUGGACAAUGGGCGCAAGCCUGAUCCAGCCAUACCGCGUGGGUGAAGAAGGCCUUCGGGUUGUAAAGCCCUUUUGUUGGGAAAAAAAAGCAGCAGGUUAAUACCCCGCUGUUCUGACGGUACCCAAAGAAUAAGCACCGGCUAACUUCGUG
RNAcentral lists this ribosomal RNA (492 nucleotides) under uncultured bacterium. RNAcentral describes it as "partial 16S ribosomal RNA". It matches the Rfam family "Bacterial small subunit ribosomal RNA", at positions 29 to 507 of the family's 1533-position model. The record is from RNAcentral.